Molecule: ribosomal RNA, 253 nt
Filed under: uncultured bacterium
Lineage: Bacteria
Description: partial 16S ribosomal RNA
Rfam family: Bacterial small subunit ribosomal RNA
Source: RNAcentral
UACAGAGGGUGCAAGCGUUAAUCGGAAUUACUGGGCGUAAAGCGCGCGUAGGCGGCUUGGCAAGUCGGGUGUGAAAUCCCCGGGCUUAACCUGGGACCUGCAUUCGAAACUGUCUUGCUAGAGUAUGGGAGAGGGAAGUGGAAUUUCAGGUGUAGCGGUGAAAUGCGUAGAUAUCUGAAGGAACAGCAGUGGCGAAAGCGACUUCCUGGACCAAUACUGACGCUCAGGUGCGAAAGCGUGGGGAGCAAACAGG